Bombus huntii is the source of this 5846-nucleotide long non-coding RNA. RefSeq lists it as uncharacterized. Lineage: Eukaryota; Metazoa; Arthropoda; Insecta; Hymenoptera; Apidae. The transcript has 2 exons. The record is from RefSeq and is a predicted model, not a curated record.
GAUUGAUAUUGCUAUUGCCAAUAAAUAGUCAGCAACAUAACAGAUUUUUCAAAAAGAGUCAAAUAAUUGAUUGUCAUUGUUGUCGAUUGGUAACAAUGGAUACUGUACAUUGUUCAUAUCUUAACACUUAGCCAACCGAAUAGGGAAAUCUGCCCUCUGUGAAGAACAUCGCUGCGUGACCGAACUGGAAGAUCUCCCUUUUUGACUUUAGCAACGCGUUUUCUUUUCUUUUUGUUGUUGUUAUUAGUUAUUGUUUACCUGGAAUUAUUAUUUCCCAAAUAAUUGCGCCACUUUUUCUGCUUUUAUAAAGUACAGUAUAUAAUAAGAUACAGCAACUUAGUGGUGUUAAAAUGAAUUAAAAAGCUACACUAUCAGUUAUGACUAAAUAAAGUUGUAAUCGAACGAUACGACGCUGUAAAAAAAUAUUAAAAUGCAUUAUGAAUUUUUACGUUCAAAUCGCGUUAUUUAUCUUUGGUCAUCUUUAAUGUUUUCAAUUUUGCCUAUAUUUUUGUAUACUUUUAAUAUAUACUUUUAAUUUGAUGUUUUGUAUAAACGAUAUGUGAAAUCGUUAAAUAAAAUCAUUACCGCAAAUAUAAUUAACCACUUAAAUCAUUUUUACACUUGUUUAUUUUUUAAGUAGCGAAUAUUAGUCCUCGAUACUUGGAAAAAUGCGCGGUUGGCUAAGUGUUAAAGAAAGAUUUCGACAAAUCCAAGUUAUUAUUUUCUUAUACUAAUAAAUUACACUAUAAUACAAGAUAAUUAAUAAUAUAACAUAUAUUAUAAUAUAAUAUAAAUAAUAUAAUACAAGAAGUUAUACCAAAUUAUCAUUUUCCAAUCGGAUUAACAUGCUUGAAGCGUAUUUGGCUUUGUGAACAGUUAACAAUAAGAUUAGGGAAGCUGAUAUAAACUUUAUAAUCAGGUAUUCGCUAUCGGAAAUUGGAUGGAAAUGAAAAGGCGCAGUUUCUUUCUUUCUUUCUUUUUCGAUGUUGGUUAUCGAUAUCCUGAAACCCGAUGAGAUAAAAUAAAAACUUGAGAAAAUGUUGAUCAUGUUGAAGUAUCGUAAUCGAUUUGAUUUUAAUAAAUCGACGUUUGCACUAUAACAGCGCGUGAAAAAUAAAACCAGAUUACUAUUUAUUAGAAAGUAGUUUUUUUCCUAUAAGCGAACAUGCUUAUUAUUCAAGAAUCGUACUGUGUUGUUAAAUUGCACGGGAUGCUUUAACAAUUUAAAUGCAAUGCUGUUUCCGCGCCACUGAAAUUCCAAUUAUCAGACAGAUAAAAUUUAACAAACGAAAAGAAUCGAAGUUCUUUUUGAAAAUCUUUCCAAGUUAUUUAUUCCCUCUAAUUUAUCACUCGUUUAGCCAUUACGUAUAAAGUAGUCUAGUAUCGUGGUCGAAUAGCCUACGAGAUAUCGCGUGAACCAUAAAUAAUGUCACGAGAAAGCCGAAGUGUCAUCUAUGUAUCGUCGGUCCUUCAAUCUAACAGUUACGCGGAAAAAAGGCCUACGUGACUCUGGCCACGAACGGUUGCGGAACACGUGCGUGGUGGGGCUACGAGAAAAAACGAAGAGAUGCUAAGGGAGAAAGACGAAUUAACAGUCAGUGUGAGUUGAGAAGUCAGAGAGCGUGCAUUGUGUUAUCGAGAGAGUGUUGCUAGUGUUGUCAAGAGAGUGUUGCUAGUGUUGUCGAGAGAGUGCGGUCUGCGCGAGAGAGAGCGUUGGAACCGUAGUAACGAGAGUUGUAGAUUAACUAUUUAGUUGCUUAGUUGUGGCACGUUAUUGUAUUUAGUUCACGUUAAAUAACCAUCAUUUCCUGUUUAACCAACACCUGUUUAAUCCAUGUUUAAAUCAAAUAAUAAUAAGAUCCUACAGUAGCGAACGAAGAAACAGACAAAGUUAUUUAAUGAUCGUGAAACGAAGAAGCGCGUCCAGUCGGUUUGAAAUCCAAUUACAGAUAGUUACGGUAAUAUAAAACCGCCUUUGUUCUAUUUCACUCCCUCUUUCAAUCUACUUUCCAUUGUGUUUCGAUAGUCCGAUAAAUUUCAAAACCCUUUCGAAAUAACACCAAUCGCCUUUCUUUCUAAAAAUCGUUCGCUCCUGUCGAAUGUAUCAAAAACAUCGGUUUUGUUUCAACUUUGUUAGUUUCCAUAUUUCCCUCCCUCGAUAUCACGUAUUUACUUCGAUCCAGCGAAUUUAUCUCACAGCAGUCAAAACCAUCGGCAUCGAUUCCUCAGGCUAUGUAUUGCGAAAUUUUUCGGACCGUUGUAUGUUGAAUUUUGUCUUGUCUGUUAUUCUUUGUAUUAGAAUUUUGUCGACGCUCAAAACCAACAAUUUCGCACAAGAUUAUUUCAAAUAUACAAAGUGGUUGGUAACUGGUGAUGCAAGCGGAAAGGGGGUGAUUCUACGCGAAAAAAGAAGUCGAAAAUAUAGAAUAAAAAUUUUUCGUUCGAGGCUUUGUUUUCGAGAAAAUCGACUUUGAAUUUUCGUUCGGUACGCGUGCGAUACGUUAUAACAUAUCUCACUGUAGAUCGUUGUCUCGAAGGAAAAAUUUGAAAAAAAAAAAAAAGAUUUUUAUUCUAUAUUUUCGACUUCUCUUUUCGCGUAGAAUCGCCCCCUCUCCGCUUGUACCGCCAGUUACCAACCACUCUGUAUAUCAUUAAUUUCAUUCCAACUUUGAUCGCGCGUUUAAAAUAAAACGAUCAUUGCGAUGUAUUGAAAAUAUUGAGUUGGCAACUAAGUGAUUGCGGAUUUGGUCAUUAGGUUGUAAUGACAAAUUUCGCAAUCACUUAGUUGUCAAUUCAAUAGGUUAAGUUAAAAACGAGUGCACGUUUAACGAAAACGUUACACGAAAUACACAAUCUAUGUGCGAUCGAUAAUGAACCUGAUCGAAAGUACUUUUUCUUUUUGUAUUUCCCUUUUGCAAAUUGUUUUCACAAAAUUGCUUUGUUAUAUGAAAGUAUGCUUUUUAAAAAUCAUUUACAUUUUCAAUCUGUUACUGACAAUUUAUAACAAAAAUUAUUUUAUGAAAUAGGCCGUAAUUCUAUAAAAGUAGCAAAAUGACACAUAGGUGUAAAGAAAAUGGAAGUCAAAGUGAAUUAUUGUUUGAUGAUUUAUCUGAUGCAGCAAAUAACACUUGCGACGAAAAUGAAUUCACUGAUAGCAGCAAUAUUCCUGAACUAAUUGAUGUGAUUAGACGUAGAAGAAGACUGAAUAAAAAAUAUAAUACCAAACGCAAAUUAAAAACGUGCAUAUAUGCAUCCUAUUGCUUGCUGCGCAUGCGUUAAAAAAUCUGCAGGCCCUGGGAACGCGUUGAGCGUGCAGAGCGCUGUACGCAGUGUGUUAAGAAAGGGAAUUAUCUGGAAGAAUACAGAAGUUUGUUCUUGUGAGUAGCGGUUUUUUCGCUGUUCGUGUUAAGAGGCAUUUAAGAGAUUGUCCUGAGAUUUUCGUUAGAAACUUGAAGUAAAUUACAUAGAAUAUACUAGUUUGUCAACUAAGUGAUUGCGGAUUUUGUCAUUAGGUGGUAUAUUGGUGUGGCAACUAAGUGAUUGCGGAUUUUGUCAUUACCACCUAAUGACAAAAUCCGCAAUCACUUAGUUGCCACACCAAUACUAUAAGCGAAAAUAACUGAGUUUUUACCCACGAAGAAAGUAGAGUGAAAGAAAUUUUGAUUUUCACGUAAGUUGCGAAAUAUUUCAUCUUCGUUGAGUAUUGCAUGAUAACGCAAUUGACUUGUAAUUAAUCGCAAGGGAACGAGAGUUGGUUAGAUAUCGGAGAAAUUCGCGGCAAACCGCAAUGUCACUUCGACGCUUAAUCAUCUGACGGUAUGGGGAUCGAUUCAGACAUUUUCUCCGAAGUAUCAAUCGCAAUUAGUAGCAAAGCGUUUCGAGCGUAACCUUUAACAAGAACGUGCAUACGAUGCAAAGGUCGUACAAUGAGAAAAAAGAAUCAACGAAAGCAAACCCAUUGAUGUGUUAAACGUGGAAAACGAGGCACUGCAUUCUGGCGAAGCAAUUGCGAUUCAAUAAGUUUCGUUGGGUACGUUGUUGCCUGUCAUUGAAUUACAUAUGUGUUGAACUGUAACAAACUGCAGCAGCUCGAUUGUUUUCGAACAAUCGCAACACAUUCGAUAACUGUUUCGCCUGAUUUUUUAUUUUAUCGUAAAUUGCAUGGAAGAAUUAACCGUUUGCACUCGACAGCCCUUUCGGUUGCGUGUAGCAGCAACUCGAGGUGAUUUGCAAUGUGAUAUGUGAUGAGCGUCUUGUGGGUAAUAUAAAAUGAUUUUAUACAAAAAUUAAUUUAAAAAAACAUUGUAUUUUAAUAAUCUAUAUAUAUUUGCAUCUUUGAACAUAUCACUUUUUAAUAUUUUUUCUGUAUUUUUUUAUGAUAAUUUAUAAAACAUCUGCAUAAGUUGUUUCGUGUCUUUCUCCUGCUUUGUUUCAGUAAGAAAACACCUUACAGUACUUUUCUCUUCCUGUUAAAAUUACAUGCAGCUUUCCAUUUAAUCGAAUUUCAACACAAUUAGCAGUCGAUGUGGAAGCGCGAGCUUGUGGCUGUCAAAUAUUUCCUCCCAACUGAUCUACUGAAGUUUUUAUAAAUCGCAGGUGGUUAAGUGGCCUUUCGUUCUUUUGCUUUUUUACAGAGUGUAUGAAUUAAUUAAACAAAUUUCCAAAUCCAAAUAAAGAGCUAAGGAAUCUAUUUACGAACCAAUACUGCGCUCUCAUCUGAGGAAAAUAGCCUUUCGAGUGUAAAGGGUUAAUGGUUAUAACAAUUAAAAAGAUCGAUAGUAUAGGAAUUUUUUAUUUAUUUAGAAAUAUUGGAAAUUAGGGUUUCCAAUGAUUUCUAUCCUAUAUGAUAAGUUUAUUGAUCGAUAGAUCUAUUUACAAUGGAUUAAACAGGAAACGGUGGUUAUUUAACGUGAACUAAGUACAGUAAUGUGCUAUAACUAAAACAACUAAAUAGUUAAUUCACGACUCACAGUUAAUAGUUUAUAACUCGUAAUAACUCGGCAAUUCAACUCACUACUAUUCCACUCCAAUCUCGCAACCCCACUCCUCACCACUCGACUCCCCACCACUCGACUCCCCACUCACGACUAUUCCACUUGACUCUCUAUAAUAAGGAGCUGUUUCAGAAAUUCGAGAAGUGUCAGUGCAAUGCUGCGUUCUUUGGAAUCCACAGUUACCUAUUCUGUAGCUACUUGUAGUAGACGGCGGUUUCGCUAGCUACACUCGUAAAGGGCGUAUGCGGUAUUAACGUGUCGCGAGUUCGAAACCAUUCCUGGGCAUAUUUGCAAUGGUGGAAAGCCAAAUAUCUUCUAGAAGUAAUAUACAACGGGCAAGUGGGUUCCCCCCCUGCCUAUCAUGUUGGUAGUACUUCCUAGAGUGCUUGGCAAGUACUUCCCAGUUUUGAGUCACUUGCGCUGACUACCCAGCCCCGCCCGUGGGGUUUUAGCCGGUAAAAAUCCGGCACCCUUGUCCCCCGCCCCGUGCGAUGAGAUAAGGUGUCUAUGAAGAUUUCCCCACGGAAAAAAAAAAAAAAAAUUUUUUUUGCAACCAAGGCCCUAGCCGCGCUGAGUGCACUCGUUCCCGUCAGUUUUCAGGACAGAAAAAAAUAAAAAAAAUUUAUAAAAAAGCUCCGCUACCCAGCGGCUUAAACCCAAAAAUUGUAUUAUACAACGAAAAAUGUAAGGUGCCGACGCAUAAUACAGCAUGGCUACGUCGUACCGCCGCAUAUCGGUACCUUUGCCUAACAUAUCAUUACAAAAAUUCACCGUUUAUUGUGAACACCAUAAUGUAUUUAUAAUUGUAUAUUGGGUUUAAAUAAACAUUUAAAAAAAAAAAAAAAAAAAAAA